Molecule: long non-coding RNA, 560 nt
Organism: Homo sapiens (human)
Lineage: Eukaryota; Metazoa; Chordata; Mammalia; Primates; Hominidae
Product: long intergenic non-protein coding RNA 1939
Source: Ensembl
AGGGACAGGCGUCACCCCCACCAGCAGGUGCAGAGGUGCCGUUGCAGCAGUUGGAUGUGAGGCCAAGAAGCAGAAGCUAAGGGAGGGGGUCUGGGGCAUCCCUGGAGCUCAGAAGCCAAGGCCCGUGCCUGCCCCAGGGCUGGUGCCAUACAUAGUUCCAGGUACUGGGGACGGAGGGUAGCCGAUGGGGCCCUGAGCAGGACGUGCCUCUUCUGGACUUGACCACAGAACCCAAGCAUGGUUCAAGCGAUUCUCCUGCUUCAGCCUCCUGAGUAGUUGGGAUUACAGAUGCCCGCCACCGCACCCAGUCACAGAUGGACUCUGAGAGAGAAAAUAGCACCCCUGUCCAAACAUCACAUGCCUGGCGGAGGAACGCAGCCUGGCCUGUGCAGCCGAAUGUUGGAGAGUGCACCUUCCUCUCUUAUUUUGUUUUAUUUCCAGGGAAAGGGAAAGGAAGACAUGCAGGUAAUUUAUCAACUAAAUUACAGGCUGACUGAUAAUAAAGCUCCCCGCCCCACAAAAAAAGGAAAUGAUUGUGGGGUUUUAGUGGGUUUUCAAUG